Non-coding RNA from Caerostris extrusa, 119 nucleotides. NCBI's taxonomy places the organism in Eukaryota, Metazoa, Arthropoda, Arachnida, Araneae, Araneidae. The record is from the annotation of a GenBank genome assembly.
ACGGCCAUACCAUGCUGAAUAUACCUUAUAUAUAUACCUCGUUAGAUCACCGAAGUCAAGCAUCAUUAUGCGCGGUCAGUACUUGGGCGGGUGACCACCUGGGAACACCGCGUGCCGUU